CAGGCCCCGACGGAAGCCGAGACUGCGCUUCGUGCGAGGCCCGGGCAGCAUCGGCGGCGUGGUCAGAGCGAGUCUCGGAGAAGAUGUGGUGGCUUCCGUUUGUUGGUGGAGGAGGUGGCAGGCCUCGGCGGGUAACCCAGAGAACACAGCCGAAGUGGAAUGUGGGGACGUCUGCGACACCGGGGACAGAGCAACUGUGGAUGAAGAGGGCUACAUCUGGUUCCUGGGGAGGAGUCAUGACACUAUCAAUGCCUCUGGGUGGUGAAGGCAUUGAUUGUCCUGACCCCACAGUUUCUGUCCCAUGACAAGGACCAGCUGACUAAGGAGCUGCAGCAGCAUGUAAAGUCAGUGACAGCCCCAUGUAAGUACCCGAGGAAGCUAAGUGAGGGCAGAUGGAAGGGGUCAGUUCCCAGUACUCCUGCCCCAUGUCUCCUAGGGUGGCUGUGCAGGGGGAAGCUUGGAG
RNAcentral lists this long non-coding RNA (463 nucleotides) under Homo sapiens (human). RNAcentral describes it as "non-protein coding lnc-IL17RA-33:3". Lineage: Eukaryota; Metazoa; Chordata; Mammalia; Primates; Hominidae. The record is from RNAcentral.